Molecule: long non-coding RNA, 320 nt
Filed under: Nicotiana benthamiana
Lineage: Eukaryota; Viridiplantae; Streptophyta; Magnoliopsida; Solanales; Solanaceae
Description: long non-coding RNA (NBEN_LNC006499)
Source: RNAcentral
AACAUUUUGUACAACUUACAGCGCCCAAAACAUACACAUAUGUUACACAAGUUCUACAACCCACGUCAUCCAGUCUACGGAGCCUCUAAGACAAAGAAAAUGAUACAAUACUUGCCGGCGACAAGGCCCCGGCUAUACCUUUACAAACAUGACACAAAACUCCAAAAUACAAUAAUAGGGGUGGCAUGAGCCACGCAAGGCCCCGGAAGGAAAGGCGCUCACCAAUUACCAACACUGCCGAAAAGGAAAGAGGAGGAGCUAUGAACGGUGGACUGGAGUUCCUGCCGUGGAUCCACCUACAAUAAUAACACGAAUGUAGC